This is a long non-coding RNA of Bos taurus (domestic cattle), 711 nucleotides long. The record is from Ensembl. Lineage: Eukaryota; Metazoa; Chordata; Mammalia; Artiodactyla; Bovidae.
GGGAAGGCUGAGAUCAGCCCCGCCCAGCAGAGGCCAGAUGAGCUGGGGACUGGAAUCUUUCUUCCGACAUCGUGGCAGCUCAUCUGCAGACCUUUACAACCUUCUGUUCCCAGCAGCCCCUCAGCACAGCUGACCGGGGGUUCUUCGGGAGCUGCCUCCAUUCACAGGGCAGGAGGCCAAGAUGGAACACAAACCAAUGACAUCAACAGAGCCACCAGCCUUUCAUUAGAGCUACAAGCAGAGCCCAGCGGCCACAGCACCGCAAACCUAAAGGCUCCGGGAGACGCAGGCCCCAGCCUGGUGGAAAUCAACGACAGGUCACAGAGAACUGCCUGGAAGGUGGCCUCCACGAGGACAAGGACCACAUCUACCUUUGCUCUUCACUGUGCCCCGUCUGUAGCAUAUUCAAAAGCAGAGACAUUACUUUGCCAACAAAGGUCCGUCUAGUCAAGGCUAUGGUUUUUCCUGUGGUCAUGUAUAGAUGUGAGAGUUGGACUGUGAAGAAGGCUGAGCACCAAAGAAUUGAUGCUUUUGAACUGCGGUGUUGGAGAAGAUUCUUGAGAGUCCCUUGGACUGCAAGGAGAUCCAACCAGUCCAUUCUGAAGGAGAUCAGCCCUGGGAUUUCUUUGGAAGGAAUGAUGCUAAAGCUGAAACUCCAGUACUUUGGCCACCUCAUGUGAAGAGUUGACUCAUUGGAAAAGACUCUGAUGC